UACGUAGGGCGCAAGCGUUGUCCGGAAUUAUUGGGCGUAAAGAGCUCGUAGGCGGCCUGUUGCGUCCGCUGUGAAAUCCCGGGGCUUAACCCCGGGCCUGCAGUGGGUACGGGCAGACUAGAGUGCGGUAGGGGAGACUGGAAUUCCUGGUGUAGCGGUGAAAUGCGCAGAUAUCAGGAGGAACACCGGUGGCGAAGGCGGGUCUCUGGGCCGUAACUGACGCUGAGGAGCGAAAGCGUGGGGAGCGAACAGG
This 253-nucleotide ribosomal RNA is filed under the name uncultured bacterium. Its description in RNAcentral is "partial 16S ribosomal RNA". It matches the Rfam family "Bacterial small subunit ribosomal RNA", at positions 524 to 776 of the family's 1533-position model. The record is from RNAcentral.